RNAcentral lists this transfer RNA (74 nucleotides) under Candidatus Omnitrophota bacterium. RNAcentral describes it as "tRNA-Val". It matches the Rfam family "tRNA". From Rfam's summary of the family: Transfer RNA (tRNA) molecules are approximately 80 nucleotides in length. Lineage: Bacteria; Pseudomonadati; Candidatus Omnitrophota. The record is from RNAcentral.
GGGCGGUUAGCUCAGCUGGUUAGAGUACUACCUUGACAUGGUAGGGGUCACAGGUUCGAAUCCUGUACCGCCCA